This 122-nucleotide ribosomal RNA is filed under the name Caenorhabditis brenneri. The record is from RNAcentral. Lineage: Eukaryota; Metazoa; Nematoda; Chromadorea; Rhabditida; Rhabditidae.
ACGACCAUAUCACGUUGAAUGCACGCCAUCCCGUCCGAUCUGGCAAGUUAAGCAACGUUGAGUCCAGUUAGUACUUGGAUCGGAGACGGCAGUAGUAUGGAACGACAGAAAUGCCCCAGGCC